CUAUACACACAAUAGAGCACUUCUAUGCACUUUUGUAUUCUUAAUGCUUAUGAGCAUAAGUUUCUAUACAUUGUUGGAGUAGGUCUAUGUUGUUUUUAUGCAACAACAAAUUCACUUUUUAUUCAUCAAAUUACUAAAUUCUAUGUAAUGUCGGCACAAAAAAUAUUUAAGUGUAUCUUGAUCACUGAAUUUAUAAAUCUGGUCGUCUAUCACGUGCUAUUUUUUAAA
RNAcentral lists this long non-coding RNA (228 nucleotides) under Sorghum bicolor (sorghum). RNAcentral's name for it is "long non-coding RNA (SBIC_LNC007373)". Lineage: Eukaryota; Viridiplantae; Streptophyta; Magnoliopsida; Poales; Poaceae. The record is from RNAcentral.